UACGUAGGGUGCGAGCGUUGUUCGGAAUCACUGGGCGUAAAGCGUGCGUAGGCGGCCAUUCAAGCCAGAGGUGAAAGCCUGGAGCUUAACUCCAGAAUUGCCUUUGGAACUGUAUGGCUAGAGUGUCGGAGGGGAUAGCGGAAUUGCUAAUGUAGCGGUGAAAUGCGUAGAUAUUAGCAGGAACACCGGUGGCGAAGGCGGCUAUCUGGACGACAACUGACGCUGAGGCACGAAAGCGUGGGGAUCAAACAGG
Molecule: ribosomal RNA, 253 nt
Filed under: uncultured bacterium
Lineage: Bacteria
Description: partial 16S ribosomal RNA
Rfam family: Bacterial small subunit ribosomal RNA
Source: RNAcentral